RNAcentral lists this ribosomal RNA (144 nucleotides) under Stenotrophomonas sp. Its description in RNAcentral is "partial 16S ribosomal RNA". It matches the Rfam family "Bacterial small subunit ribosomal RNA", at positions 368 to 504 of the family's 1533-position model. Lineage: Bacteria; Pseudomonadati; Pseudomonadota; Gammaproteobacteria; Lysobacterales; Lysobacteraceae. The record is from RNAcentral.
ACAAUGGGCGCAAGCCUGAUCCAGCCAUACCGCGUGGGUGAAGAAGGCCUUCGGGUUGUAAAGCCCUUUUGUUGGGAAAGAAAAGCAGCGGGCUAAUACCUUGCUGUUCUGACGGUACCCAAAGAAUAAGCACCGGCUAACUUC